ACGACCUUACUUGAACAGGAUCUGUUCUAUAGGCUCGUACAAUUGACUCCUUGAGUGCAUAGGAGACAAGCAACAAAGCCUGGUGGAUGAACCAUGGUCUCGAGAUCAGAGCGUGAUUGACAGUCCUGGUCCGAUCUUGGGUCCGGAUUGUGGAGGAUCGUUCACAACUCGGCUUCAACCGGGUUGGGGUGGUCUCUAGGCUGUCUGACAGGCU
This is a small nucleolar RNA of Dioscorea cayenensis subsp. rotundata (Guinea yam), 214 nucleotides long. RefSeq annotates it as small nucleolar RNA U3. The record is from RefSeq and is a predicted model, not a curated record. The transcript has a single exon. NCBI's taxonomy places the organism in Eukaryota, Viridiplantae, Streptophyta, Magnoliopsida, Dioscoreales, Dioscoreaceae.